Alosa sapidissima (American shad) is the source of this 198-nucleotide long non-coding RNA. RefSeq lists it as uncharacterized. The transcript has 3 exons. NCBI's taxonomy places the organism in Eukaryota, Metazoa, Chordata, Actinopteri, Clupeiformes, Clupeidae. The record is from RefSeq and is a predicted model, not a curated record.
AAACCACAAUCCAAUCUUCGAUUUUUCAACGACAACCAGGUGAAAGAGACACAUUUAGCCGUCUAGCUCCAUAGACCCCCAUUGUUUUUGCACUUAUUCGUGAUCGCCUCUAGAGGAACUGCAGCAGAUUGCAGGUAAAAUGGAGUUAAUAGGGAGUGAUCUGGCUCUCCGUAAACGGGCUCUGGAUGCACUUAGAGA